Molecule: transfer RNA, 76 nt
Filed under: Alphaproteobacteria bacterium
Lineage: Bacteria; Pseudomonadati; Pseudomonadota; Alphaproteobacteria
Description: tRNA-Lys
Rfam family: tRNA
About the family: Transfer RNA (tRNA) molecules are approximately 80 nucleotides in length. Their secondary structure includes four short double-helical elements and three loops (D, anti-codon, and T loops).
Source: RNAcentral
GGGCAAUUAGCUCAGCUGGUAGAGCAUCUGACUUUUAAUCAGAGGGUCACAGGUUCGAAUCCUGUAUUGCCCACCA